This 140-nucleotide small nuclear RNA is filed under the name Meriones unguiculatus (Mongolian gerbil). Its description in RNAcentral is "U1 spliceosomal RNA (ENSMUGG00000019646.1)". Lineage: Eukaryota; Metazoa; Chordata; Mammalia; Rodentia; Muridae. The record is from RNAcentral.
AUAUUUCCCAGAAAGAGAGAGACCGUGAUCGUGAAGGUGAUUUUCCCAGGGCGAGGCUCACCACCUGCAAUGUGGAUGUGCUCAGCCCUGACACUUCCUCAAGUGUGAAAGUGAAGGACCGUGUUUACCUCGUCUCUGUA